Long non-coding RNA from Myodes glareolus (Bank vole), 1712 nucleotides. RefSeq lists it as uncharacterized. NCBI's taxonomy places the organism in Eukaryota, Metazoa, Chordata, Mammalia, Rodentia, Cricetidae. The record is from RefSeq and is a predicted model, not a curated record.
UCCUUGCUCCCUUCCCUACACAGGCCUCCCAUCUGGGGGAUGUCAAUAGUCUUGUCCUGGCAAGCCUGGGAUGAAGAUGCUCGGAAUUUGGUUGUGUGGUUUCUUCUGUCCUUACUGAAGGCAUUCUGUGUGGGAGAAGGAGGGAAAUGGGGUAUGGGCUGGAACAGCUCAUGCCCACCAAAGCCUGCCUUUGGACAACUCUGGUGACUGGAACUGCCCUUGGAAUGGGCAUGACCUGGUGACACCAAGAAGUAAAUGCACGUAGCCCAGAACAGGCACCCUGAGCCACGUGAGUUUUCUUCUUUCUUCCUUGUUCUGUGCCAUAGGCAAAAUCUGGGAAAUCAUCAGCUGAAACCAGGAGAUGGAAGAGGGCGCGAAAGUGAAACACUUCAUUGUUCCAGAAGUUAGUUUUGCAAGAUGGUGAGGUUAGGAUGUAAACAAAGUGGUGACAGAAACCGUGAAGAGGGAGGAAGAUUUGAGGCAAUAACAACAGGGCUCCGGGUGCAGGGCAGAGUGCCGGCCCUUCCUUUGCCACCUUGCUGGACUGACCCCAGUUUUGAGGCACAUGAAUAAGAACAUGCCUGGCACUCUGGGUCUGCUUUUAUCUGUGCUACAUUCACCAGGGAGGCUUCUCUGUGGUAACGGAAAGAGGGUUUUCCCUAAUGAGAAAGCAACCACAGCUGAAGUUUUGUGCCUCGGGUUUGCAAGCCCAAGCAACACUUGGGCCUGACUCAAAUGGACAAGGCAAGCCCCUCUUCUGCUCAGGCCCAGCCUGGGAGGGACACGGGCUCCCUGGAUGGAGCAAAGAGACAAAGCCAGCUAUCUUUUCUUUUAGAUUUGGAAGGGACCAGGAAUGGGAAAUCCUUUGAGGCCGGCAUUGCCAAGUGUGGCCUCAGCUCUUUCUCCUUUAGGUUCAGGUGUGAGAAGGAGAUAGGAGCCCCCGUGCCCCACAAGAUAGCAGGAUCAUCACCCAGCGAGUCCCCCUGGGCAUAAAGAGGCUGCAACAGUAACAAACAGGGACACAAUGAAUCUGGUUGUGCUGGGAAGGCACAAAGCUGCCCAGGCUGGGACAGGAUGGCAUAGAUGCCCUGCCUGCUGCCCUCAGGGAGGCCCAGGCUUUAUCAGAGUCUCCCGCUUCCGCGUGUUCUACUUUGGGAAGGCUGGGACUGGUGACCCACAGGCUUUGAAUGGAUUUUUCUAUUUUUGCUUCUGCCUCUGCUGUCACCAACACAUUCUGGCAUUUUCUACUCUUUUUACUUCACUUACAGCCCGGAUGGAGACAAAAACAUAAUACCCUGGGCCAAGACAGUUAGAAAUCAGGGCACAAGAGAGUCUGGGUAGAGCAAACAGCAACCUGCCUAAGUGGCGCGGAGCCUUUGCCAGCCAGUGGCGUCUGUCAUCUGUCACUAGAGGAGCUCACUGGCGUCUCUUGCGGUGUCUGGUCAAGAGCACAUGCCAACAAUAUGCUUGCAGAGAGAACAGAUAAACACAUGUGUUUCUUUGUGCGUUUGUAUCUCCCUUCCUCCUGCCUUCCCUCUCUUCCUCCCUUCCACCCCCUCUCUCUUUCUUUCUUUCUUUUUUUCCUUCCUUCCUUUUUCUUUCUGUCUUAUUUCAACACACUACAACCCACGCCAAACAUUUAUAGGUUUUCCUUUGUCCUUUCAUCUUUAUUUCUCUCAGAGCAGGCCAUAAAACCUUAACACAACCACAAA